GGAUUGUGGCUCAGUGGUAGUGUGCUUGCCUUGCACGCGUGGGGCACUGGGUUCGAUCCUCAGCACCA
RNAcentral lists this transfer RNA (68 nucleotides) under Marmota monax (woodchuck). RNAcentral describes it as "tRNA.Ala". Lineage: Eukaryota; Metazoa; Chordata; Mammalia; Rodentia; Sciuridae. The record is from RNAcentral.